UGGGGAAUCUUGCGCAAUGGGCGAAAGCCUGACGACGCAACGCCGCGUGGAGGACGAAGAUCUUCGGGUCGUAAACUCCUGUCGAGCGGGAAGAAUGCCUUGCAGAUGAAUACUCUGCGAGGGUGACGGUACCGCUAAAGGAAGCCCCGGCUAACUCCGUGCCAGCAGCCGCGGUAAUACGGGGGGGGCAAGCGUUGUUCGGAAUUACUGGGCGUAAAGGGCUCGUAGGUGGCCAACUAAGUCGGACGUGAAAUCCCCAGGCUCAACUUGGGAACUGCGUCCGAUACUGGAUGGCUUGAAUUCGGGAGAGGGAUGCAGAAUUCCAGGUGUAGCGGUGAAAUGCGUAGAUAUCUGGAGGAAUACCGGUGGCGAAGGCGGCAUCCUGGACCGAGAUUGACACUGAAAAGCGAAAGCCAGGGGAGCAAAC
RNAcentral lists this ribosomal RNA (427 nucleotides) under uncultured bacterium. Its description in RNAcentral is "bacterial SSU rRNA". It matches the Rfam family "Bacterial small subunit ribosomal RNA", at positions 355 to 773 of the family's 1533-position model. The record is from RNAcentral.